Molecule: non-coding RNA, 67 nt
Organism: Desmospora sp. 8437
Lineage: Bacteria; Bacillati; Bacillota; Bacilli; Caryophanales; Thermoactinomycetaceae
Source: Rfam
CCUGUGGAGUGUUAUAGCAAACCGUUGUAGGGAGUAAGUGCCGAAGCGGGACACGAUGAAUCAGGAA